This 335-nucleotide ribosomal RNA is filed under the name uncultured bacterium. RNAcentral describes it as "partial 16S ribosomal RNA". It matches the Rfam family "Bacterial small subunit ribosomal RNA", at positions 338 to 670 of the family's 1533-position model. The record is from RNAcentral.
CCUACGGGUGGCAGCAGUGAGGAAUAUUGGGCAAUGGGCGCGAGCCUGAACCAGCCAAGGAGCGUGAAGGAUGACUGCCCGACGGGGUGUAAACUUCUUGUAUAAAGGAAGAAAGUGAGGCACGUGUGCCGUGUUGUAUGUAGUUUAUGAAUAAGGAUCGGCUAACUCCGUGCCAGCAGCCGCGGUAAUACGGAGGAUCCGAGCGUUCUCCGGAUUGAUUGGGGGUAAAGGGAGCGUAGAUGGGUUGUUACGUCAGUUGUGACAGUUUGCGGCUCCACCGUAAAAUGGCCCUUGAUACUGGCAGCCUUGCGUACAGUUGCGUUCGUCGGCCUUCG